RNAcentral lists this ribosomal RNA (468 nucleotides) under uncultured bacterium. RNAcentral's name for it is "partial 16S ribosomal RNA". It matches the Rfam family "Bacterial small subunit ribosomal RNA", at positions 28 to 507 of the family's 1533-position model. The record is from RNAcentral.
GACGAACGCUGGCGGCGUGCUUAACACAUGCAAGUCGAACGGAAAGGCCCUGCUUUUGUGGGGUGCUCGAGUGGCGAACGGGUGAGUAACACGUGAGUAACCUGCCCUUGACUUUGGGAUAACUUCAGGAAACUGGGGCUAAUACCGGAUAGGAGCUCCUGCUGCAUGGUGGGGGUUGGAAAGUUUCGGCGGUUGGGGAUGGACUCGCGGCUUAUCAGCUUGUUGGUGGGGUAGUGGCUUACCAAGGCUUUGACGGGUAGCCGGCCUGAGAGGGUGACCGGCCACAUUGGGACUGAGAUGCGACCCAGACUCCUACGGGAGGCAGCGGUGGGGAAUAUAGCACAAUGGGCGGAAGCCUGAUGCAGCAACGCCGCGUGCGGGAUGACGGCCUUCGGGUUGUAAACCGCUUUCGCCUGUGACGAAGAGUGAGUGACGGUAAUGGGUAAAGAAGCACCGGCUAACUACGUG